Molecule: ribosomal RNA, 505 nt
Filed under: uncultured bacterium
Lineage: Bacteria
Description: partial 16S ribosomal RNA
Rfam family: Bacterial small subunit ribosomal RNA
Source: RNAcentral
GACGAACGCUGGCGGCGUGCCUAAUACAUGCAAGUCGAACGCACAGUUUAUACCGUAGCUUGCUACACCAUAGACUGUGAGUUGCGAACGGGUGAGUAACGCGUAGGUAACCUGCCUGGUAGCGGGGGAUAACUAUUGGAAACGAUAGCUAAUACCGCAUAAUAUUGAUUAUUGCAUGAUAAUUAAUUGAAAGGUGCAAUUGCACCACUACCAGAUGGACCUGCGUUGUAUUAGCUAGUAGGUGAGGUAACGGCUCACCUAGGCGACGAUACAUAGCCGACCUGAGAGGGUGAUCGGCCACACUGGGACUGAGGCACGGCCCAGACUCCUACGGGAGGCAGCAGUAGGGAAUCUUCGGCAAUGGACGAAAGUCUGACCGAGCAACGCCGCGUGAGUGAAGAAGGUUUUCGGAUCGUAAAGCUCUGUUGUAAGAGAAGAACGGGUGUGAGAGUGGAAAGUUCACACUGUGACGGUAUCUUACCAGAAAGGGACGGCUAACUACGUG